RNAcentral lists this ribosomal RNA (446 nucleotides) under uncultured Allobrachymonas sp. RNAcentral describes it as "bacterial SSU rRNA". It matches the Rfam family "Bacterial small subunit ribosomal RNA", at positions 930 to 1382 of the family's 1533-position model. Lineage: Bacteria; Pseudomonadati; Pseudomonadota; Betaproteobacteria; Burkholderiales; Comamonadaceae. The record is from RNAcentral.
CGGUGGAUGAUGUGGUUUAAUUCGAUGCAACGCGAAAAACCUUACCCACCUUUGACAUGGCAGGAAUCCCGAAGAGAUUGGAGUGCUCGAAAGAGAACCUGCACACAGGUGCUGCAUGGCUGUCGUCAGCUCGUGUCGUGAGGUGUUGGGUUAAGUCCCGCAACGAGCGCAACCCUUGCCAUUAGUUGCUACGAAAGGGCACUCUAAUGGGACUGCCGGUGACAAACCGGAGGAAGGUGGGGAUGACGUCAAGUCCUCAUGGCCCUUAUAGGUGGGGCUACACACGUCAUACAAUGGCCGGUACAGAGGGUAGCCAACCCGCGAGGGGGAGCCAAUCCCACAAAGCCGGUCGUAGUCCGGAUCGCAGUCUGCAACUCGACUGCGUGAAGUCGGAAUCGCUAGUAAUCGCGGAUCAGCAUGUCGCGGUGAAUACGUUCCCGGGUCUU